UAGGGAAUAUUGGACAAUGGGCGCAAGCCUGAUCCAGCCAUGCUGCGUGAGUGAAGAAGGCCCUCGGGUUGUAAAGCUCUUUUGUCCGGAAAGAAAAGCAUCGGGUUAAUACCCCGGUGUUCUGACGGUACCGGAAGAAUAAGCACCGGCUAACUUCGUGCCAGCAGCCGCGGUAAUACGAAGGGUGCAAGCGUUACUCGGAAUUACUGGGCGUAAAGCGUGCGUAGGUGGUUCGUUAAGUCUGAUGUGAAAGCCCUGGGCUCAACCUUGGAAUGGCAUUGGAAACUGGCGGACUGGAGUGCGGUAGAGGGUAGCGGAAUUCCCGGUGUAGCAGUGAAAUGCGUAGAGAUCGGGAGGAACAUCCGUGGCGAAGGCGGCUACCUGGACCAGCACUGACACUGAGGCACGAAAGCGUGGGGAGCAAACA
RNAcentral lists this ribosomal RNA (427 nucleotides) under uncultured bacterium. RNAcentral describes it as "bacterial SSU rRNA". It matches the Rfam family "Bacterial small subunit ribosomal RNA", at positions 355 to 774 of the family's 1533-position model. The record is from RNAcentral.